This 497-nucleotide ribosomal RNA is filed under the name uncultured bacterium. Its description in RNAcentral is "partial 16S ribosomal RNA". It matches the Rfam family "Bacterial small subunit ribosomal RNA", at positions 28 to 507 of the family's 1533-position model. The record is from RNAcentral.
GACGAACGCUGGCGGCGUGCCUAAUACAUGCAAGUUGAGCGCUGAAGGUUGGUACUUGUACCAACUGGAUGAGCAGCGAACGGGUGAGUAACGCGUGGGGAAUCUGCCUUUGAGCGGGGGACAACAUUUGGAAACGAAUGCUAAUACCGCAUAAAAACUUUAAACACAAGUUUUAAGUUUGAAAGAUGCAAUUACAUCACUCAAAGAUGAUCCCGCGUUGUAUUAGCUAGUUGGUGAGGUAAAGGCUCACCAAGGCGAUGGUACCUAGCCGACCUGAGAGGGGUGUCGGCCAACUUGGGAACGGGACAAGGCCCAAACCCCUUAGGGAGGGAGCAGGAGGGGAACUUCGGGCAUGGACGAAAGGCCUACCGGGGCACGCCGGCGGAGUGAAGAAGGUUUUCGGAUCGUAAAACUUCGUUGGUAGAGAAGAAAGAUGGUGGGAGUUGAAAGCGCAUCAAGUGACGGUAACUACCCAGAAAGGGACGGCUAACUACGUG